AUCCAGAUGACGAAUCCGAAAUAGGAUGAAACAGAUGUCCUAGAU
RNAcentral lists this non-coding RNA (45 nucleotides) under Schistosoma margrebowiei. The record is from RNAcentral. Lineage: Eukaryota; Metazoa; Platyhelminthes; Trematoda; Strigeidida; Schistosomatidae.